Molecule: long non-coding RNA, 1092 nt
Organism: Meriones unguiculatus (Mongolian gerbil)
Lineage: Eukaryota; Metazoa; Chordata; Mammalia; Rodentia; Muridae
Exons: 4
Source: RefSeq, a predicted model, not a curated record
CUUGAAAUACCACUCAAAUUCUUAAGACCAUGGAUUCUAAAUAAUAUAUUAUGCAUUCCUUAAUUAUUUAUCAAGACUAAUUCAAAAUAACUGUAGGGCAAAGCAUACAUUUAUUUUUAAAUAGCCAUCCCCUUUCCCAAUUUUUUCAGAUUAAAAAGUAUUCCAGAUGGUGAAAACACGUGGAAUGAGAAAAGGUUGAAGAGUGGAGGUUUACCUGAUAGCCUUGGCUGUCCUGGAACUCGCUCUGUAGACCAGGCUACCCUGGAACUCAGAGAUCCACCUCCCUCUGCCUUCCUAGUGCUGGGAUCAAAGGCACCACCACUGCCCAGCUUACAUACAUUCUUAAGUGAACUUUGAAUGUAUGUUUCACUGAUCUUGUUUGCUAAUUAUCUUCCUUUAAUGACUUGUAAGCACAUCUAUAAUUCAAAAAUAAUCUAUUUAUUAUGCAUGUAAAAUUUUACUUUUAUCGGUAAUUUGUUAUUUUGCAGAUGUGGCAAUUUCCUCUGCUCAUUCAUGAGCCAAUGAAUAUCAUGGGAUGUAUGAACUUACAAAGGUUGCUUAGAUUAACUAUGGAGUGACCUGAGGCUUCCAACUGUCCACCUUAGUCUCUGAGGUGCUGCUGCUCCAGGAGGAUGGAUGGAAUCAGGGGUCACCAUGUUCAGCAAAGUAAACCAGACUAAGAAAGGGCAAUAUCACACAUGUGCUUUCUGUCACAUAUAGGAUCUAGAUUAAAACAAUAACAAACCAUGAAAGUAAAAGUGAAACUAUUUGGAUAAGGAAAGAGACCUGUGGAGGAGAGAGGAGGAACAAGAGAAGAUCAUAGGUUCUUGAACAUCACCAAUAUUCUACACAUGAACAACAGCAUCAUCAACAUGAACAAAGUCACUCUACACACACAUGAAAAUCUCCUACCAAAUCCAUUAUGAUAAUGGAUGAUAAUUCAUGUGUGAUAAUGCCCUGGUGUGAGUCCUGACCUCCUGCUCCCACACUCCUAUUAUCAUACUUUUGGGGAGCAACCUUACUAGGCCACAGAUGACAAUGCAGCCACUUCUGAUGAGAACUGAGAGACUAAGAUCAGAAAGAAGGAGAGGA